Molecule: ribosomal RNA, 492 nt
Filed under: uncultured bacterium
Lineage: Bacteria
Description: partial 16S ribosomal RNA
Rfam family: Bacterial small subunit ribosomal RNA
Source: RNAcentral
AGUGAACGCUGGCGGUAGGCCUAACACAUGCAAGUCGAACGGCAGCACAGUAAGAGCUUGCUCUUACGGGUGGCGAGUGGCGGACGGGUGAGGAAUACAUCGGAAUCUACUUUUUCGUGGGGGAUAACGUAGGGAAACUUACGCUAAUACCGCAUACGACCUACGGGUGAAAGUAGGGGAUCUUCGGACCUUGCGCGAUUGAAGGAGCCGAUGUCGGAUUAGCUAGUUGGCGGGGGAAAGGCCCACCAAGGCGACGAUCCGUAGCUGGUCUGAGAGGAUGAUCAGCCACACUGGAACUGAGACACGGUCCAGACUCCUACGGGAGGCAGCAGUGGGGAAUAUUGGACAAUGGGCGCAAGCCUGAUCCAGCCAUACCGCGUGGGUGAAGAAGGCCUUCGGGUUGUAAAGCCCUUUUGUUGGGAAAGAAAAGCAGCAGGUUAAUACCCCGCUGUUCUGACGGUACCCAAAGAAUAAGCACCGGCUAACUUCGUG